UACGUAGGGGGCAAGCGUUGUCCGGAAUUAUUGGGCGUAAAGCGUGCGUAGGCGGUUUGUUAAGUCCGCUGUGAAAGCCCUGGGCUCAACCUGGGAAUUGCAGUGGAUACUGGCAAGCUAGAGUGCGGUAGAGGAUGGUGGAAUUCCCGGUGUAUUGGUGAAAUGCGUAGAUAUCGGGAGGAACACCAGUGGCGAAGGCGACUACCUGGCCUGUUCUUGACGCUGAGGCGCGAAAGCUAGGGGAGCAAACGGG
RNAcentral lists this ribosomal RNA (253 nucleotides) under uncultured bacterium. RNAcentral describes it as "partial 16S ribosomal RNA". It matches the Rfam family "Bacterial small subunit ribosomal RNA", at positions 524 to 776 of the family's 1533-position model. The record is from RNAcentral.